RNAcentral lists this unclassified non-coding RNA (206 nucleotides) under Hevea brasiliensis (rubber tree). Lineage: Eukaryota; Viridiplantae; Streptophyta; Magnoliopsida; Malpighiales; Euphorbiaceae. The record is from RNAcentral.
GAGACUAGAGAUUGUUCUGCAUUGACAAGAGAGGAGCGUGAAUCUCCGGAGGUGUGGUCUCAUAUUUGUAUUCACAAACUGGCCGAACUAGCCAAGGAGAGCACUACAAUGCGCAGGGUACUGGAUCCAAUGCUCCUAUACUUCGAUAAAAGAAAAUACUGGGCCCCCCGGAAUGGGUUUGCUUUGAGCGUAUUAUCUGACAUGUC